Molecule: ribosomal RNA, 454 nt
Filed under: uncultured bacterium
Lineage: Bacteria
Description: bacterial SSU rRNA
Rfam family: Bacterial small subunit ribosomal RNA
Source: RNAcentral
UGGCGAACGGGUGAGUAACACGUGGGUGAUCUGCCCUGCACUGUGGGAUAAGCCUGGGAAACUGGGUCUAAUACCAUAUAGGACCGCAUCUUGGAUGGUGUGGUGGAAAGCUUUUGCGGUGUGGGAUGAGCCUGCGGCCUAUCAGCUUGUUGGUGGGGUAAUGGCCUACCAAGGCGGCGACGGGUAUCCGGCCUGAGAGGGUGUACGGACACAUUGGGACUGAGAUACGGCCCAGACUCCUACGGGAGGCAGCAGUGGGGAAUAUUGCACAAUGGGCGCAAGCCUGAUGCAGCGACGCCGCGUGGGGGAUGAAGGCCUUCGGGUUGUAAACUCCUUUCGCUAUCGACGAAGCCACUUGUGGUGACGGUAGGUAGAUAAGAAGCACCGGCUAACUACGUGCCAGCAGCCGCGGUAAUACGUAGGGUGCAAGCGUUGUCCGGAAUUACUGGGCGUA